GUGCAGCCGCCGCGGUAAUACGGAGGGUGCGAGCGUUAAUCGGAAUUACUGGGCGUAAAGGGCGCGUAGGCGGUCGCGCAAGUCGGGUGUGAAAGCCCCGGGCUCAACCUGGGAAUUGCAUUCGAUACUGCGUAACUAGAGUCUGGUAGAGGGAAGCGGAAUUCCGCAUGUAGCGGUGAAAUGCGUAGAUAUGCGGAGGAACACCAGUGGCGAAGGCGGCUUCCUGGACCAAGACUGACGCUGAGGCGCGAAAGCGUGGGGGGCAAACAGGAUUAGAUACCCUGGUAGUCCACGCCCUAAACGAUGAGGACUAGACGUUGGGGGAUAAAGCCCUUUAGUGUCGCAGCUAACGCGUGAAGUCCUCCGCCUGGGGAGUACGGCCGCAAGGUUGAAACUCAAAGGAAUUGGCGG
This 411-nucleotide ribosomal RNA is filed under the name uncultured bacterium. RNAcentral's name for it is "bacterial SSU rRNA". It matches the Rfam family "Bacterial small subunit ribosomal RNA", at positions 505 to 916 of the family's 1533-position model. The record is from RNAcentral.